CAGUUCCUCUCUGAUAUGUUGGCGUCUUCAUAUGAUAUUCAGCAUUUUGUUAUAAAAAGCAAUGCUACAGCGGCGGGUGGUGUGCUCGUGGUCACCCAUGUGAUCCCGGCACCUCAGGGUGCUGCGACACAAAACUCUGCAGAGAAGAAGAAGCACCGGGAACAACUGCUGGCCCUCGGGACGGUGCAGAUCAUGAUCGGCCUGGCCGUCUUUCUCUUUGAGCUCGCCAUGAUUCCAGAUACAUAUACUCUGGGGAUGUACUCUGGCGCUUUCGUCUGGGCACCGCUGUUUGACAUCUUGUCUGGAUCUCUGUUGGUGUCUGCUGGGACAUCGAUGAACAAAUGUCGGGUGAACGGAGGUGUGGGACUCAGCGUUGUUGCUGCUGUUGCUUCUGCUGCUGCUGCCUCCAUCUACGUUCUGGAUGCUUUGCAUGUAACGGGAUACCUGGACCUGGAAUAUAACAACACUUACUACUACCACCACGACUAUUACUAUAGCUCCUAUGUGACUUGUGGAGUUUCAGGUGUUUUGGCUGUUUUCUCCUUCCUGGGCUUCAUCGUCUCCAUCUGUAUCACUGGGCUUGGCUACAAAGCUUCACCUCAGUCCCCAGACCAGCUGUUCAUCAUGACCAACCAAUCACAUGAAGCAGCUUCACAGAUGUCAGAGACUACGCCCACACAGGGGACCACGCCCACAUAUGAGGCCCCGCCCAUCCCAGAGACUCCGCCCCCUUCAGAGAGCGACUACGAGACGUUGAAGCCUCAGGAAUACAACACCGACAUAGUCUGACCCCCCCUCCUCCAUCUGACCCCCUCCUCCAACAAGCCCCGCCUCCUCCGCCUGGUCCCGCCUCCUCCAUCUGGCUACAGCGGCGGGCGGCAUGCUCGUGGUCACCCAUGUCAUCCCAGCACCUCAGGGUGCUGCGACACAAAACUCUGCAGAGAAGAAGAAGCACCGGGAACAACUGCUGGCCCUCGGGACGGUGCAGAUCAUGAUCGGCCUGGCCGUCUUUCUCUUUGAGCUCGCCAUGAUUCCACACACAGAUUCUCUGGGAAUGUACUCUGGCGCUUUCGUCAGGGCCCCGCUGUUUGACAUCUUGUCUGGAUCUCUGAUGGUGUCUGCUGGGACAUCGAUGAACAAAUGUCGGAGUUUGUCGGAGAGUUGCCAUGGAGCGAGUUUGCUAAAGAGCAGCCUUGUCCUCAUCCCAUAAUGCACAGCAAGGUGAAGGGAGGUGUGGGACUCAGCGUUGUUGCUGCUGUUGCUUCUGCUGCUGCUACACCCAUCUACUUUCUGGAUGCUUUGGAUGUAACUGGAUACCUGUUCCCGAUAUAUGAAUCUAACGGCACGGCAUACCACAACUAUUACUAUAGCUCCUAUGUGUGGGAAGGUGUGAACCUGACCUGAAGAGUCCAGUUUGGGGUUCAUCAGCUGUAAAGUGUUUGGGUUUUUUUCCAGGUUUAGACUGGUGGAGCUUUAGGUGUUUUGGCUGUUUUCUCCUUCCUGGGCUUCAUCGUCUCCAUCUGUGUCGCUGUGCUUGGCUGCAAAGCUUCACCUCGGUCUACAGAACAGGUGAGUCCAGUGUGAUGUCACAGACCAGGUGAGUCCAGUGUGAUGUCACAGACCAGGUGAGUCCUGUGUGAUGUCACAGACCAGGUGAGUCCAGUGUGAUGUCACAGACCAGGUGAGUCCUGUGUGAUGUCACAGACCAGGUGAGUCCAGUUUGAUGUCACAGACCAGGUGAGUCCUGUGUGAUGUCACAGACUAGGUGAGUCCUGUGUGAUGUCACAGACUAGGUGAGUCCAGUGUGAUGUCACAGACCAGGUGAAUCAACAGGAAACAGACUUUACCUUCUCGUGUUUCAGAUUCAACCCUCAAUCUGUUUCUUCUUCAGCAGCUGAUCAUCAUGACCAACCAAUCACAUGAAGCGGCUUCACAGAAGCCAAAGACUACACCCACACAGGGGGCCCCGCCCAGAUAUGAGGCCCCGCCCAUCCCAGAGACUCCACCCCCUUCAGAGAGAGAUGACGAGACCGUGAAGCCUCAGGAAUACAACACAAACAUAGUCUGACCCCCCCUCCUCCACCAAGCAUGGUCCCGCCUCCUCCAUCUGGCCACUGUUAUAAACUCAGUACAGCCUGGUGAUGUUCCUCAAGAAGACAUCCGGCAGAUUAACUGAUGUUUUCGUUACAUUUAUAUUGACCAAAUCUUUGUUGUAUUAUUAUGAGACACAGACAUACAGACAGAC
RNA transcript from Perca fluviatilis (European perch), 2245 nucleotides. It is a transcript of the gene named membrane-spanning 4-domains subfamily A member 18-like, with no coding region annotated. NCBI's taxonomy places the organism in Eukaryota, Metazoa, Chordata, Actinopteri, Perciformes, Percidae. The record is from RefSeq and is a predicted model, not a curated record. The transcript is spliced from 16 exons.